AUGGUCCCUCGUCCAGAGAUGGCCCUCUCCAUGGAUCCCUAUGCACCACUGGCACAGGCGUACACUACUCAAACCGCGGCGCCUCCGCCGUUUUAUUUCUCGCACCUGCUGUCGGUGAAGCUCGCGCCGGACAACUACCUGUCAUGGCGUGCUCAGGUCUUACCUCUACUCUGCAGCCGCUACUUGGAGGGUUAUGUCGACGGGUCCAUCCCGUGCCCACCCCCUCACCAUCCGGCAUAUGACACGUGGGUGGCGCAGGAUCAGGCCAUUCUCUCCGCCAUCCAGUCUUCGCUCACGCCGAGUGUUUCGUCGAUGGUCAUCUUCACCGCUACGUCCAGGGAGGCAUGGGCGGCCCUCCACACUAGUUUCACCUCUCAGUCUCAGGCGCGUGCACACUCUAUACACACCGAGCUGGGUGAGACCAAGCUUGGCGAUCUCAGCAUCACGGAGUACUUCAACAAGAUGACGAGCCUCGCCGACACCUUGGCCUCUAUUGGUCAGCCGCUUCAGGACGAGGACUUCACCACCUUUGUGCUUAACAGGCUUGAUGAUGAUUAUGAUAAUCUCAUUGAGAACGUCCAUGGUCGAGAGGGUACGCUCCCGCGUCGUGAGCUCUAUGCGCGCCUCCUUGGGCGUGAGCAUCGCAUCAAGGCGCGCCGUGUUUCCCCCAGCUUCGUCUUCGCCAACGCCGCCACACGCUGCAAACCUCAGAAGCCGACCCCAUCAGGUGGCAAACCACCGGCUUCCUCGUCGCAGGCCUCGCAGGGCAACGCGCCGACCAUCACUGGCGGGAGUCGCCCAGUUGCUUGCCGUUCUAGUUGUGGUGCUCCUUAG
RNAcentral lists this ribosomal RNA (834 nucleotides) under Triticum aestivum (bread wheat). Its description in RNAcentral is "partial small subunit ribosomal RNA". Lineage: Eukaryota; Viridiplantae; Streptophyta; Magnoliopsida; Poales; Poaceae. The record is from RNAcentral.